RNAcentral lists this small RNA (33 nucleotides) under Arabidopsis thaliana (thale cress). RNAcentral describes it as "ATSL015930". The record is from RNAcentral. Lineage: Eukaryota; Viridiplantae; Streptophyta; Magnoliopsida; Brassicales; Brassicaceae.
CGAUUUUUAGCCGUUUUGAUUCUACUAAUGCAG